RNAcentral lists this ribosomal RNA (519 nucleotides) under uncultured bacterium. RNAcentral's name for it is "bacterial SSU rRNA". It matches the Rfam family "Bacterial small subunit ribosomal RNA", at positions 8 to 523 of the family's 1533-position model. The record is from RNAcentral.
CAGAGUUUGAUCCUGGCUCAGAUUGAACGCUGGCGGCAUGUCUUACACAUGCAAGUCGAACGGUAACGCGGGGCAACCUGGCGACGAGUGGCGAACGGGUGAGUAAUGCAUCGGAACGUGCCCAGUAGUGGGGGAUAGCCCGGCGAAAGCCGGAUUAAUACCGCAUACGACCUACGGGUGAAAGCGGGGGACCGCAAGGCCUCGCGCUAUUGGAGCGGCCGAUGUCAGAUUAGGUAGUUGGUAGGGUAAAGGCCUACCAAGCCUACGAUCUGUAGCUGGUCUGAGAGGACGACCAGCCACACUGGGACUGAGACACGGCCCAGACUCCUACGGGAGGCAGCAGUGGGGAAUUUUGGACAAUGGGCGCAAGCCUGAUCCAGCCAUGCCGCGUGCGGGAAGAAGGCCUUCGGGUUGUAAACCGCUUUUGUCGGGGAAGAAAUCUUCUGGGUUAAUACCCCAGGAGGAUGACGGUACCCGAAGAAUAAGCACCGGCUAACUACGUGCCAGCAGCCCCGGUCA